GGGGAGAGCAGGCAGGCCGGGAGGGGGCGUCGGCACGCAGUGGCUAUUGUGGUCAUGAUGCAAAUUAUCUUGUAUGAGUUAUUAUUUGUGCUGCAACUUUUUCCUAUGUUAAACUUAUCAAAUAUAGCUAAUCGUGGUAUUGCAAUUCAGCAGGUAUGAAGAGAAAAGCGUUGUCAAACAUUGUUAAGAUUGAUUUAUUUCUAAGCUGAAUGCUUCAAGUUCUCUGCUGAUAUUUUUAAUGAGGCUGAUGUGCAAGU
This 257-nucleotide long non-coding RNA is filed under the name Hordeum vulgare. RNAcentral describes it as "long non-coding RNA (HVUL_LNC008782)". Lineage: Eukaryota; Viridiplantae; Streptophyta; Magnoliopsida; Poales; Poaceae. The record is from RNAcentral.